This 447-nucleotide ribosomal RNA is filed under the name uncultured bacterium. RNAcentral's name for it is "bacterial SSU rRNA". It matches the Rfam family "Bacterial small subunit ribosomal RNA", at positions 330 to 794 of the family's 1533-position model. The record is from RNAcentral.
GCCAGACUCCUACGGGAGGCAGCAGUGGGGGAUAUUGCACAAUGGGGGAAACCCUGAUGCAGCGACGCCGCGUGGGUGAAGAAGCGCCUCGGCGCGUAAAGCCCUUUCAGCAGGGAAGAAAAUGACGGUACCCGAAGAAGAAGCCCCGGCUAACUACGUGCCAGCAGCCGCGGUAAUACGUAGGGGGCGAGCGUUAUCCGGAUUUACUGGGUGUAAAGGGGGCGCAGACGGCGAUGCAAGCCAGGAGUGAAAGCUCGGGGCCCAACCCCGGGACUGCUCUUGGAACGGCGUGGCUGGAGUACAGGAGGGGCAGGCGGAAUUCCUAGUGGAGCGGUGAAAUUCGUAGAUAUUAGGAGGAACACCGGUGGCGAAGGCGGCCUGAUGGACUGUGACUGACGUUGAGGCCCGAAGGCGUGGGGAGCAAACAGGAUUAGAUACCCCCGUAAC